This 253-nucleotide ribosomal RNA is filed under the name uncultured bacterium. Its description in RNAcentral is "partial 16S ribosomal RNA". It matches the Rfam family "Bacterial small subunit ribosomal RNA", at positions 524 to 776 of the family's 1533-position model. The record is from RNAcentral.
UACGUAGGGUGCGAGCGUUGUCCGGAAUUAUUGGGCGUAAAGAGCUCGUAGGCGGUCUGUCGCGUCUGCUGUGAAAACCCGAGGCUCAACCUCGGGCCUGCAGUGGGUACGGGCAGACUAGAGUGCGGUAGGGGAGAAUGGAAUUCCUGGUGUAGCGGUGGAAUGCGCAGAUAUCAGGAGGAACACCGGUGGCGAAGGCGGGUCUCUGGGCAGUAACUGACGCUGAGGAGCGAAAGCGUGGGGAGCGAACAGG